UAUUUAGAGACCUGACUUGACACAAAAGGAAAUGUUGUUGCGUCUUUCCCUUCUGGUGCUAUGUAUCGGGGGAGUUAUAGCGAAACCUCACAGAUCAGUCGGAAUGAAAAACCUUAUACUUCCCUCUGGGGAGAAGGAUAAACCGAACAUGUUGUUCACGAAAGAACCCCGUCCCUCAACAAUGACAACACUCGGUAGUUCAGUGACUCUCUCCUGUGCUGGAACUAGUAGUUUACCAACUGGGGAGCCAAGUGUUUCCUGGCUCUUUACUCCUAAAAUAACUCCCGACAUCAAAUUGUGGGAGGGACUAGUAGGAGGGACCAGUGGGACACUGAUUCUUGGUAACUUGCAGAAGAGCGAGGGAGGAUAUUACUUCUGUCAGAUAACUGACGGUUACGGUUACAGCUUGAUCAGCCGCGGAGCUCUUGUUAUUGUCACUUAUUUGGAUCCUGAUUUUGGUGCGUAUCCAGAAGAAAAGACCAUCACAGAAUCAAAAGCUUACAUCAAGGUUCCGUGUCAGCCGCCAGCAAGUAAUCCGCCUGCAAAGAUAAAUUGGUAUAAAGACGGAAAACUUAUUGAGAAAGUUGAGAAUAUGAUACAAGAGUACGUGAGUCCCAACAAGUACGGUUCCCUGAUAAUCUUCAACCCGAGAACUAGUGACAGUGGUAUGUACGCUUGUGAGGCCAGCAACAUUAACGCUAACCCUGAAAAGAGGAAAACUAGCGAAGUUCUCAUCGAUAUUAAAGUUGAAGGCUCGGGAACGUACGCUCAGAAGUUUGUACAGGAUCACGAUGUACUCGUUAACAAAGGAGAAGACGCGGUACUCCACGCCGGAGCUAUUGGUUUCCCAGUGCCUAGCUACCGCUGGACUCUCGGCGUGUCUGUAGAAAUAGAUGUCAAUCCUGGUAGCCGCUUUUCUACUGCUGACUUCGGGAGAGAUCUUAGAAUAUCGGGUGUUCGCACUGAGGACCGGGGCACGUACUGGUGUCAGUACAAGAACGUGUACACGGACAGUGUCGCUGUAGUCAGACUCUACGUCAAGGAGGACAUUUCGUUCAACACAGUGUUGACAGAGCAGACAGUGGAGCACCUUACUCCGCUGACAUUCGACUGUCAGUGUUCAGGGACCCCCUACACCAGCGGGGACCCUACUGCCCCUCCUUCUGUACUCUGGCUCAGAGACGGGCAACCUAUUGUAGAUGGCAAGAGGUUCAAGGAGGAGGACGGUAGUCUGGUUAUGUCCGGACUGGAAAUGUCGGAGGCUGGGAUGUACCAGUGUUUCUGCUACAACACCAUGCAGAUAUCACAAACUUACAUGCCUGUUUCUGUUAAAAAUAUGACGAUCCCAGUAAGUAUUGACGGUAACGACAGAGCAGAGGGAGUGUACAACGAGAAUAUUCAGAUAUUGUGUCGGGCUAACGGAUACCCGCUUCCUGUGGUCACGUGGUACAAAGAUAACGAGGAGAUCACUGCUGUAUUUGAUCCUAGGUACUCGAUAACGCAAGAGAACUUCAAAGAUCACGUUCUCUCUAAUCUGAGAGUGCUGUCUGUAAAGGAUGCUGAUGCUGGAAUAUUAACUUGUAGAGCAGUUAACCAGAAAGUUUCUACUUUUGCUGCUGAACUUAAGAUUGAUUUUCUUGUUGGUCACGAGAUAUCUCCCAGCAUCUCCCUCUCUGAUAUUAGUAUCCAGGUGGACUCGUCCAUCGUGUUUGAAGCGGUUGCCUAUGGUUACCCAACACCAGCUGUCACGUGGUACAAGGGAGCAGACAGAGUUCCUCUAUUAACUGGAGGGAGGUACACUGUAGCUGAGUCCUCUCUCCUCAUAGACGGGGCUCAGAGCUCCGACACUGGUCUAUACGUGGUAAAGGCUAACAACGGGGUCGGGGCACCCGCCUACGCCAACGCUACCAUAUCUCUAGGUGUGAACAACGCCAUGAUAUACGGUUCAGCGAGCGGGGGAGUCGCUCUGAUCCUGAUAAUAGCUAUUUUGGUUCUCCUGUACGUUCUAAUAAAGCAGAAAGAGAAGAAAAACUACGUCCCUCCCAAGGCCGCCCCAACGCCAACCGAGAAGGAAAUCGAACGAAGAAUCCGUAUGGCCAGCGAAACACCGCCUAUUGGUUUCAACCCUAAACCAGAUCUAGACGACAAAACCAAGAACUCCCUUUACUUGAGAGACAAUCCCGCUCUGUUCGAUGUGAACGUUACUUCAAAGAACUUGCCCCCACUACUCAGAGCUCCUAUGGGUAAAUCAUCUUAACAAGUAGUUACCUGGUUACCUGGUUACCUGGUUACCUGGUUACCUGGUUACCUGGUUACCUGGUUACCUGGUUACCUGGUUACCUGGUUACCUGGUCAACUACAACAAGUAGUUACCUGCUUUUAUUUGACGUUGGAGAAUUUUCAGAGACAGUCGGCCAAGUAGCGCGAAAAGCAAGACAUCAGGCGCAGAUAAGAAACCUAAGACAGUAGAAAAUGAUGUGACUAUGAUCAUUAAUGAUGUCAGUGACGGAGAGUUCGAUAAUGAUAUGCCCAACGGUAACCAUGGUAACAAUGACAUGGUGAUGCAAGGACCGGGGAUGGUAAUGGAGCAACCUGUGCCGGCCACAUUUCUCUCUGAUUUACCAAGUAGGCCCACGGAAAAUAGCGCGGACAUGCCCGGAGUAGUAGUUGAGCAACCUGUUCCCGUCACUUUGUUCCCUAACAUGCCACGUGAACCAGACAGUUCUCCUAGUUCCACCUCCCCUUCAGAAGACGACAGUGACUCCACCAGCUACGGAUCUAGCACCAAAAUAGUGAAGAAGGUGAAAAAGUCGAAAGUGGGGCCGUCCUAAGUGCUUUAAGUGAAGAUAUUCAAUUCAGAUCUUCAGAAUAAAACGACAAAGCGAAGCCGCAGCACAGAUGAAAACGCGUCGUCAACAAUCCAUCUUCAUUGAAUAAACAAAUAAUCAAUUAUAAGGGUAAUUGCGGAUUUGUUUUUAUAAAUAGAAUAAAAUACACUCAUUAUCAACUUGAAAAAUGGAACAUAAUUUGCAAACUGAUUUAUCUCCUGAAUAAUUUGAAAUUAUUCGCAUUAUUUCAAAUAAUUUGCAAGUAAUUUGACCAAACACACCAAAAUUUGUUAAUAAUAAUGAUCAUUUUGUUACAAUAAUAUUAAAAAUAUAUUUUGACUGACAUCAAAAAGGUGAAGGGAAACAUUUUCAGUUUGAAACUAAGUGAUAAUAGUUUUUAUCCUAGAUAUUUACAAUUUUAUAAAAGCUUUUGUUUAUGAUGAUUACUCAAAACUGUAUCGAUUUUUUACAUUGAUCUUGUUUUAUCAUACAA
This is an RNA transcript of Bolinopsis microptera, 3321 nucleotides long. It is a transcript of the gene named hemicentin-1-like, with no coding region annotated. The transcript is spliced from 18 exons. Lineage: Eukaryota; Metazoa; Ctenophora; Tentaculata; Lobata; Bolinopsidae. The record is from RefSeq and is a predicted model, not a curated record.